UUCUUCAAAAUCAUCUGCUAGAUAAAUAAAUGUAUGUAUAAUUUUUUUUUGCAGUUGCGAAAGCCUUCCUCUAAGCAAUAACAUGAGAAGCAGCAGAAGGUGUCAUCACAGAAGUCAGGAAGUUCCAGUGUGUUUGAGUGAAUCUGCAGAGACUCACAGUAACACAGAUCUACAGCUCAGAGCACAGACAACAUUAACACACACCUGAUCUGACAGUCAACAUGGAAAAACACCUGCUUCUGCUUUUAAUUCUGACUUCAGGUGUGAUGAGUGCAGACCAGAUUGGAUCAAAUCAAGAAACUAGUGUCAUAAAAAAGGAAGACGAGACUGUGACCCUCAGCUGCUCAUAUGAAACAAGCAGCAGUUAUGUUAGACUUUACUGGUACAGACAGUAUCUUAAUGGAGAGCUUCACUAUUUAAUAUAUAAGAAUUCAGGUGGUGGAGGUGGCAGCCCAGCUGAUCCUCGCUUUCAGUCGACUACACCACAAUCAUCCACUGAACUCACUAUUACUGGUGUAACUCUGUCAGAUUCAGCUCUCUAUUAUUGUGCUCUAAGAGUUGAAGCCCAGUGAUACAAAGUCUAUGUGAAGCCGUACAAAAACUCAAACUAAUUUUUCCCUUUGAUGUCAAGCCAUAUCAGACCCACAAUCUAAUAUUCACACAAUUUAAUUUUACUUGUGGAAACACC
Molecule: non-coding RNA, 688 nt
Organism: Onychostoma macrolepis
Lineage: Eukaryota; Metazoa; Chordata; Actinopteri; Cypriniformes; Cyprinidae
Source: the annotation of a RefSeq genome assembly